This 213-nucleotide long non-coding RNA is filed under the name Gossypium raimondii (Peruvian cotton). Its description in RNAcentral is "long non-coding RNA (GRAI_LNC008574)". The record is from RNAcentral. Lineage: Eukaryota; Viridiplantae; Streptophyta; Magnoliopsida; Malvales; Malvaceae.
CGACUGGUUGAGAAGGAAAAUCGAAAGAGUGACUGGUUGUAAAGAAAAAGAAAAGAAAAGGUCGAGAGACAGAGGAAGAGGUGAAGGAAUGGGGAAGCCAAUCGGGAGGCGAAGGUAGAACGAAGGUAGAACGAAGGAAGAGGCGACAGAAUGGGGAAGCCAAUCGGGAGGGUAAAACAGAGAGGGUAAACGAUGCAGCACCUAAUCUGAGCA